ACGUAGGGGGCAAGCGUUAUCCGGAUUUACUGGGUGUAAAGGGAGCGUAGGCGGCUUGGUAAGUCAGAAGUGAAAGCCCAGGGCUUAACCCUGGGACUGCUUUUGAAACUGCCAGGCUUGAUUGCCGGAGAGGUAAGUGGAAUUCCUAGUGUAGCGGUGAAAUGCGUAGAUAUUAGGAGGAACACCAGUGGCGAAGGCGGCUUACUGGACGGUAAAUGACGCUGAGGCUCGAAAGCGUGGGGAGCAAACAG
RNAcentral lists this ribosomal RNA (251 nucleotides) under uncultured bacterium. RNAcentral describes it as "partial 16S ribosomal RNA". It matches the Rfam family "Bacterial small subunit ribosomal RNA", at positions 525 to 775 of the family's 1533-position model. The record is from RNAcentral.